RNAcentral lists this non-coding RNA (45 nucleotides) under Echinostoma caproni. The record is from RNAcentral. Lineage: Eukaryota; Metazoa; Platyhelminthes; Trematoda; Plagiorchiida; Echinostomatidae.
GCACUACCGACCAGUCCCAAACAGGACGAAACAGCUGUCCAGUGC